CUUCACUGCCACAUGUGCUCCUUUACGUGUCCAUUGGCUAAUGUGGAUUUUGGACGCUGCCCAUUGCCCUCUAGCUUGUAUGUAUAAGGAAUUCAAAUACCAAGAGUGGGUUGAGAAAAUAUCAGAUCCUGUCACUGAAGCAUGCAGCAAGAUUUUUGUACGAGAGAUGAUUCAAAGUAUCAACCAUUACAAUGUUAUAGAGGUUGUUGUAAUGAUGCCCAAACCUAAUCGUAACAUGACACAAAUAAGUUAUGGCUAUUAAUAUAACGAUAUUAUUUGACAAUUAUCUAGCUAUAUUGACUUGUAUAAUGAGAACAACAACCAAUAUUUGACCUCUUCAUCAUUCUCGCAAUUAAAACAAUAUUUUUUCUGAUUAAAAUCUCUAUCAGCCCAAAUUAAAAACACCUUUGAUCUUGUGAACAUUAGCAUAGCCGAGUGAUGACAUUAGUCUACCGUAACUGUUU
This 464-nucleotide long non-coding RNA is filed under the name Phoenix dactylifera (date palm). RNAcentral's name for it is "long non-coding RNA (PDAC_LNC002578)". Lineage: Eukaryota; Viridiplantae; Streptophyta; Magnoliopsida; Arecales; Arecaceae. The record is from RNAcentral.